This 321-nucleotide ribosomal RNA is filed under the name uncultured eukaryote. Its description in RNAcentral is "partial 18S ribosomal RNA". It matches the Rfam family "Eukaryotic small subunit ribosomal RNA", at positions 1470 to 1796 of the family's 1831-position model. The record is from RNAcentral.
CCCUUAGAUGUCCUGGGCCGCACGCGCGCUACACUGACAUGUUCAACAAGCCUCCUAGUUCGACAUGAUUUGGGAAAUCUUUGAACGCAUGUCGUGAUAGGGAUAGAUCAUUGCAAUUAUUGAUCUUGAACGAGGAAUUCCUAGUAAACGCGAGUCAUCAGCUCGCAUUGAUUACGUCCCUGCCCUUUGUACACACCGCCCGUCGCACCUACCGAUUGAAUGUUUCGGUGAAGAUUCCGGAUAGGACUUUUUUGAUUUAUUUCAAUUCUGUCUUAAAAGCUAUCUAAACCUCAACAUUUAGAGGAAGGUGAAGUCGUAACA